This 377-nucleotide ribosomal RNA is filed under the name uncultured bacterium. Its description in RNAcentral is "bacterial SSU rRNA". It matches the Rfam family "Bacterial small subunit ribosomal RNA", at positions 523 to 898 of the family's 1533-position model. The record is from RNAcentral.
AUACGGAGGGUGCGAGCGUUAAUCGGAAUUACUGGGCGUAAAGCGUGCGUAGGCGGUUCGUUAAGUCAGAUGUGAAAGCCCUGGGCUCAACCUGGGAACGGCAUUUGAAACUGGCGGACUAGAGUUUAGUAGAGGGGAGUGGAAUUUCAGGUGUAGCGGUGAAAUGCGUAGAUAUCUGAAGGAACACCAGUGGCGAAGGCGACUCCCUGGACUAGAACUGACGCUGAGGUACGAAAGCGUGGGUAGCAAACAGGAUUAGAUACCCUGGUAGUCCACGCCGUAAACGAUGUCAACUAGCCGUUGGUCCUAUUUACAGGAUUAGUGGCGCAGCUAACGCAUUAAGUUGACCGCCUGGGGAGUACGGCCGCAAGGUUAAA